Long non-coding RNA from Hibiscus syriacus, 633 nucleotides. RefSeq lists it as uncharacterized. Lineage: Eukaryota; Viridiplantae; Streptophyta; Magnoliopsida; Malvales; Malvaceae. The transcript is spliced from 3 exons. The record is from RefSeq and is a predicted model, not a curated record.
UCUGGUGAAGUUCUCUCUCUCUUGGUUAUUUCACUAUUGAAGUACGCGAUAACGUUAACUAAUCCAAAUUCCUUCGCAAUAAUCGACGUGGCUCCGAAUUUCGUUAAAAUCAGCCAGUGGAGAAGCACCAGGAGCUUAUAUGCGGCGUUUUUGCAGUCUUGUGCAGUAGAGCUGAGAACGUUAGCAAUUUCAUAGAUGCGGAAUCAAUUUUUGGAUAGUCGCCUUGUCUACAAGCAUUUUGCUACUCUUUACUUUGUGUUUGUGUUUGAUACUUGAUAGUUCUCAGAAUGAGCUAGGCGUGCUUGACUUGAUACAAGGUAUCUUGGGAAAUUUCAUUUUAGAAUUUACCUAUAAUGGACUAAUCAAUCUAUAAAAUGUGGUUCUCGUUAGUUAUAGCCCUUUCCAGAUCAAGAUUUGAACUUAGUCAGUAUUUGGAGAUGUUUCAAUAGUCAAUACUUAAAUGUUGCAUUAUUGAUAUAAUGCUUUGUAAUCAUUAUAAACAUGCUUUGUAAUGAUCUUGUAAUCAUUAUAAGUUGAAUUUUGUUUGGAUUUUGGAAGCACCUUUUUAUGGAAUAGAUUUUGUUAUCUGAGCAUUUAAUAAUGAACAUUGAUUUUUGUGUGCUGGAAUCAGCU